Molecule: ribosomal RNA, 253 nt
Filed under: uncultured bacterium
Lineage: Bacteria
Description: partial 16S ribosomal RNA
Rfam family: Bacterial small subunit ribosomal RNA
Source: RNAcentral
AACGUAGGAGGCGAGCGUUAUCCGGAGUUACUGGGCGUAAAGCGGAUGUAGGCGGUGGCUCGCGUCGGAUGUGAAAGCCCUUGGCUCAACCGAGGGAGUGCGUCGGAAACGGGGUCACUGGAGGCCAGCAGAGGAGCGCGGAAUUCCGGGUGUAGUGGUGAAAUGCGUAGAGAUCCGGAGGAACACCAGAGGCGCAGGCGGCGCUCUGGGCUGGUACUGACGCUGAGAUCCGAAGGCAUGGGGAGCGAACGGG